GGGGGGGGGGCCUUAUACAUGCAAGUCGUACGCACUGGCCCAACUGAUUGAUGGUGCUUGCACCUGAUUGACGAUGGAUUACCAGUGAGUGGCGGACGGGUGAGUAACACGUAGGUAACCUGCCCCGGAGCGGGGGAUAACAUUUGGAAACAGAUGCUAAUACCGCAUAACAACAAAAGCCACAUGGCUUUUGUUUGAAAGAUGGCUUUGGCUAUCACUCUGGGAUGGACCUGCGGUGCAUUAGCUAGUUGGUAAGGUAACGGCUUACCAAGGCGAUGAUGCAUAGCCGAGUUGAGAGACUGAUCGGCCACAAUGGAACUGAGACACGGUCCAUACUCCUACGGGAGGCAGCAGUAGGGAAUCUUCCACAAUGGGCGCAAGCCUGAUGGAGCAACACCGCGUGAGUGAAGAAGGGUUUCGGCUCGUAAAGCUCUGUUGUUGGAGAAGAACGUGCGUGAGAGUAACUGUUCAUGCAGUGACGGUAUCCAACCAGAAAGUCACGGCUAACUACGUGCCAGCAGCCGCGGUAAUACGUAGGUGGCAAGCGUUAUCCGGAUUUAUUGGGCGUAAAGCGAGCGCAGGCGGUUGCUUAGGUCUGAUGUGAAAGCCUUCGGCUUAACCGAAGAAGUGCAUCGGAAACCGGGCGACUUGAGUGCAGAAGAGGACAGUGGAACUCCAUGUGUAGCGGUGGAAUGCGUAGAUAUAUGGAAGAACACCAGUGGCGAAGGCGGCUGUCUGGUCUGCAACUGACGCUGAGGCUCGAAAGCAUGGGUAGCGAACAGGAUUAGAUACCCUGGUAGUCCAUGCCGUAAACGAUGAGUGCUAGGUGUUGGAGGGUUUCCGCCCUUCAGUGCCGGAGCUAACGCAUUAAGCACUCCGCCUGGGGAGUACGACCGCAAGGUUGAAACUCAAAGGAAUUGACGGGGGCCCGCACAAGCGGUGGAGCAUGUGGUUUAAUUCGAAGCUACGCGAAGAACCUUACCAGGUCUUGACAUCUUGCGCUAACCUUAGAGAUAAGGCGUUCCCUUCGGGGACGCAAUGACAGGUGGUGCAUGGUCGUCGUCAGCUCGUGUCGUGAGAUGUUGGGUUAAGUCCCGCAACGAGCGCAACCCUUGUUACUAGUUGCCAGCAUUAAGUUGGGCACUCUAGUGAGACUGCCGGUGACAAACCGGAGGAAGGUGGGGACGACGUCAGAUCAUCAUGCCCCUUAUGACCUGGGCUACACACGUGCUACAAUGGACGGUACAACGAGUCGCAAGCUCGCGAGAGUAAGCUAAUCUCUUAAAGCCGUUCUCAGUUCGGACUGUAGGCUGCAACUCGCCUACACGAAGUCGGAAUCGCUAGUAAUCGCGGAUCAGCAUGCCGCGGUGAAUACGUUCCCGGGCCUUGUACACACCGCCCGUCACACCAUGGGAGUUUGUAACGCCCAAAGUCGGUGGCCUAACCUUUAUGGAGGAGCCGCCUAAGGCCGGGACCAA
Molecule: ribosomal RNA, 1478 nt
Filed under: Limosilactobacillus reuteri
Lineage: Bacteria; Bacillati; Bacillota; Bacilli; Lactobacillales; Lactobacillaceae
Description: bacterial SSU rRNA
Rfam family: Bacterial small subunit ribosomal RNA
Source: RNAcentral